AUGACGGUGACGACGACGAUGAGGGCUUGGAGGUUUCUCUGUAAACCCUACCCAUGACCCAUCAACAAUCAAUAAUCCCAAUGGGUUUGAUACACCAAUGAAGAAUUUUGAGUUGAUCGGGGUUGGAAUAACCGAAUGAACGAACGAAUUACGUUGUGAUCAGAUCUAGGGUUUGGAUUAAAAUUCGAAGCGAAUUGGAGAAAUUUGGACCUGGAAAUAGAAAUGUUAGGGCUUCGCAGCGAAUUUGCUUCCCCUUUUCGAUUCGAGCGAAUCUAGUGAUUCUAUUAGACUGAAGUUAGGCGAUUCUGAAAGAUGAAUUUCUAGGGUUUCGCCGUGGAGCGUGACAAAGAAAAGUUACGUUACAAAGAAAGCGAAGACAGAGACGCAAUCGAACACGAGUUGAAAUUGGCGUAUAAAUGGAGAGAGUGG
Molecule: long non-coding RNA, 429 nt
Filed under: Actinidia chinensis (golden kiwifruit)
Lineage: Eukaryota; Viridiplantae; Streptophyta; Magnoliopsida; Ericales; Actinidiaceae
Description: long non-coding RNA (ACHI_LNC004458)
Source: RNAcentral